GAUGAACGCUGGCGGCGUGCCUAAUACAUGCAAGUCGAGCGAACAGACGAGGAGCUUGCUCCUCUGACGUUAGCGGCGGACGGGUGAGUAACACGUGGAUAACCUACCUAUAAGACUGGGAUAACUUCGGGAAACCGGAGCUAAUACCGGAUAAUAUAUUGAACCGCAUGGUUCAAUAGUGAAAGACGGUUUUGCUGUCACUUAUAGAUGGAUCCGCGCCGCAUUAGCUAGUUGGUAAGGUAACGGCUUACCAAGGCAACGAUGCGUAGCCGACCUGAGAGGGUGAUCGGCCACACUGGAACGUAGACACGGUCCAGAGUCCUACGGGAGGCAGCAGUAGGGAAUCUGCCGCAAUGGGCGAAAGCCUGACGGAGCAACGCCGCGUGAGUGAUGAAGGUCUUCGGAUCGUAAAACUCUGUUAUUAGGGAAGAACAAAUGUGUAAGUAACUAUGCACGUCUUGACGGUACCUAAUCAGAAAGCCACGGCUAACUACGUG
Molecule: ribosomal RNA, 497 nt
Filed under: uncultured bacterium
Lineage: Bacteria
Description: partial 16S ribosomal RNA
Rfam family: Bacterial small subunit ribosomal RNA
Source: RNAcentral